Molecule: ribosomal RNA, 617 nt
Filed under: Fonsecaea pedrosoi
Lineage: Eukaryota; Fungi; Ascomycota; Eurotiomycetes; Chaetothyriales; Herpotrichiellaceae
Description: LSU rRNA
Rfam family: Eukaryotic large subunit ribosomal RNA
Source: RNAcentral
UGCAUAUCCCAAAAGCGGAGGAAAAGAAACCAACAGGGAUUGCCUCAGUAACGGCGAGUGAAGCGGCAACAGCUCAAAUUUGAAAUCUGGCCUCUUGGGGUCCGAGUUGUAAUUUGUAGAGGAUGUUUCGGGUACCGCCUCGGUUUAAAUUUCUUGGAACAGAAUGUCAAAGAGGGUGAGAAUCCCGUCUUGGACCGGCGGUAGGGCCUAUGUGAAACUCCUUCGACGAGUCGAGUUGUUUGGGAAUGCAGCUCAAAAUGGGUGGUAAAUUUCAUCUAAAGCUAAAUAUUGGCCAGAGACCGAUAGCGCACAAGUAGAGUGAUCGAAAGAUGAAAAGCACUUUGAAAAGAGAGUUAAACAGUAUGUGAAAUUGUUGAAAGGGAAGCGCUUGCAACCAGACUUGAGCGCGGCGGUUCCCCCUUGCUUCUGCUUGGGUUACUCCGCCGUGUCCAGGCCAACAUCGGUUCUGGGGGUCGGUCAAAGGCUCUGGGAAUGUAUCUACCCACGGGUAGACUUAUAGACCAGGGUGUCAUGCGACCUCCCGGGACCGAGGAACGCGCUUCGGCUCGGAUGUUGGCGUAAUGGUUGUCAGCGACCCGUCUUGAACCACGGGACCA